CCUACGGGGGGCUGCAGUGGGGAAUAUUGGACAAUGGGGGCAACCCUGAUCCAGCCAUGCCGCGUGUGUGAAGAAGGCCCUCGGGUUGUAAAGCACUUUCAGUGAGGAAGAACGCCUGGUGGUUAAUACCCAUCAGGAAAGACAUCACUCACAGAAGAAGCACCGGCUAACUCCGUGCCAGCAGCCGCGGUAAUACGGAGGGUGCGAGCGUUAAUCGGAAUUACUGGGCGUAAAGCGCGCGUAGGUGGCUUGAUAAGCCGGUUGUGAAAGCCCCGGGCUCAACCUGGGAACGGCAUCCGGAACUGUCAAGCUAGAGUGCAGGAGAGGAAGGUAGAAUUCCCGGUGUAGCGGUGAAAUGCAUAGAGAUCGGGAGGAAUACCAGUGGCGAAGGCGGCCUUCUGGACUGACACUGACACUGAGGUGCGAAAGCGUGGGUAGCAAACAGGAUUAGAUACCCCGGUAGUC
This 465-nucleotide ribosomal RNA is filed under the name Vreelandella stevensii. RNAcentral's name for it is "partial 16S ribosomal RNA". It matches the Rfam family "Bacterial small subunit ribosomal RNA", at positions 338 to 795 of the family's 1533-position model. Lineage: Bacteria; Pseudomonadati; Pseudomonadota; Gammaproteobacteria; Oceanospirillales; Halomonadaceae. The record is from RNAcentral.